GACGAACGCUGGCGGCGUGCUUAACACAUGCAAGUCGAACGGUGACGAGGAGCUUGCUCCUCCGAUCAGUGGCGAACGGGUGAGUAACACGUGAGUAACCUGCCCGGACUCUGGGAUAACAGUUGGAAACAGCUGCUAAUACCGGAUACGAGACGGAGAGGCAUCUCUACCGUCUGGAAAGUUCUUCGGUCCGGGAUGGACUCGCGGCCUAUCAGCUAGUUGGUGAGGUAACGGCUCACCAAGGCGACGACGGGUAGCCGGCCUGAGAGGGCGACCGGCCACACUGGGACUGAGACACGGCCCAGACUCCUACGGGAGGCAGCAGUGGGGAAUAUUGCACAAUGGGCGAAAGCCUGAUGCAGCGACGCCGCGUGAGGGAGUGACGGCC
RNAcentral lists this ribosomal RNA (388 nucleotides) under uncultured bacterium. RNAcentral's name for it is "bacterial SSU rRNA". It matches the Rfam family "Bacterial small subunit ribosomal RNA", at positions 28 to 416 of the family's 1533-position model. The record is from RNAcentral.